This 469-nucleotide ribosomal RNA is filed under the name uncultured Sphingobacteriales bacterium. RNAcentral describes it as "bacterial SSU rRNA". It matches the Rfam family "Bacterial small subunit ribosomal RNA", at positions 916 to 1381 of the family's 1533-position model. Lineage: Bacteria; Pseudomonadati; Bacteroidota; Sphingobacteriia; Sphingobacteriales. The record is from RNAcentral.
GACGGGGCCCGCACAAGCGGUGGAGCAUGUGGUUUAAUUCGAUGAUACGCGAGGAACCUUACCUGGGCUUAAAUGUAGAGUGCAUUUUUAGAGAUAGAAAUUCCCUUCGGGGCUUUUCUGCAAGGUGCUGCAUGGUUGUCGUCAGCUCGUGCCGUGAGGUGUCGGGUUAAGUCCCAUAACGAGCGCAACCCUUAUCGUUAGUUGCCAGCUGGUAAAGCAGGGGACUCUAGCGAAACUGCCGGUGUAAACCGAGAGGAAGGUGGGGAUGACGUCAAAUCAGCACGGCCCUUAUGUCCAGGGCUACACACGUGUUACAAUGGCCGGUACAGAGGGCAGCUACCUGGAGACAGGAUGCGAAUCUCAAAAGCCGGUCUCAGUUCGGAUCGGAGUCUGCAACCCGACUCCGUGAAGCUGGAUUCGCUAGUAAUCGCGCAUCAGCCAUGGCGCGGUGAAUACGUUCCCGGGCCUU